This 3928-nucleotide long non-coding RNA is filed under the name Solanum tuberosum (potato). Its description in RNAcentral is "long non-coding RNA (STUB_LNC001663)". Lineage: Eukaryota; Viridiplantae; Streptophyta; Magnoliopsida; Solanales; Solanaceae. The record is from RNAcentral.
UAAUAAAGUUAUUUAUUUUAGCUAAAUAUAUACAAAAGGUAUUUCACCUAUCAUUAUUUCAACUAUAAUAUUGUAUACAAAAUGCAUUUCACAUAUCAUCACUUGAAAUAUAAUUACACAAACUUGGCAUUUUGAAAAUUAUAUAAUUCACCUUCUAAACUUAUACUAAGUCUGUUUUGAGCCAUUUCAAACCAAUCUCCAUUUGAAAUCUCAAACGCAUGUAAAUGGAAACCUCUUGAAGUUCUUCUCUUAUGACAUGCAACCUGCAAAUAUGAAAUAUAAGAUUUUAAAACCAACCAACGGUUAUGAAUUUUCUUGCUCGAAAAUGUGGAAGACCGGGUAAAAGCAUAGUCUAUUUUCACAUACUUCAAUAACGAAGGAUGCUAAAAGCCAUGUACAUAAAUGUCUAUUAUACACCUAGCAAGCUUUAAAGAAAACCUAAUAGAAGAAAAAAAAGAGAGGAAGAGAGUGCUUACAUAUGCCGCAAAGUGGCAUUAUAUGCCAUGCUCCCUAAGGGACACUGAACCAUCUCUCAAACCAUUGUCUGAUGGUGUUUUUACAAGAACAAUAAGAGUCAAGAUAACGCAUGUGGUAUUUCAAAUGCUAUUGAAUAAUUAUGCAAUAUAGGAUCACCACACAUAAUUUGAAUCACACCAUUCGUUAGAUGUCAUUUGAUCGUACGUGGAAAAGUAAGCUUGUAGGACUUAUAUUAAUAAUCGAGGAUUUAAAAAAAAAAACACAUCACAAGAUUAAAUAAAACACAGCAGAGAAGGUAAAGCAUAGAGAAGCAACUAACCCAAGGCACAAUUAAAACAAAAGGGAUGUAUGCUUGAGAAAAAGAUCAAUAGAAGCAGACCAUAUAACAAAUAGUAAGCAAGUUGAUCCAUUUAUAGGAAAUGAAAUGAGUGAAGUGGGUGAGUAUCUCACAGAGAAGUGAAAGAAAUGGACCUCAUUUGAUCACUUAGAUAAAAAUUUAUACAAUUAAAAGACCAUUGAGCGAAACAGGAGUGACAAUACUGAUGAAAUCUUAAACGGGAACUAAAAAAGCUAACCAAAAUCUCGAGCCACCGACUGUGCAAAUUGAUUCAAGGCCUCAGAUGUAGGGUUUGUGUGGUGGUUGUUGGUGACCUAUGGAUGGGAGCUUUUUUCUGUUUUUGGUAGUUUAUGGUUGAUUGAAGGAAAAGAUGUGGUGGUACUUAUUAGUGGAGUUUGUGAGGUUAAAGUGGAAUGUUGCUGAUUAAAUUUGAUCAUAAAUGUGUCGGCACUACGUAGCAAAUGAAGCAUGUGUGCACUUAUAGUAUUUGAUGCAAGUAAAUCACUCAAACAGUUUUAGCAUUUUUCAAUAGUUAAAAUUUAAUAAAAGAUAAUUAAAUUUUCUAAAUAUAUCAUUAGAAGGAUUGUCUUAUCGGAAAUAGCCUCUCUACCUUCAUAACUCAUAAUAUGUUAUUGUAUCGUUAGAAGGAUUUAAAUCAGCAUCAGACAUGAAUGUACAAAAUGCAACUUUAAAGAUUUGACAGGAACUUUCUAUUCAAUUACUAUGCAUACAAAUAAUGAUCUUGGAUGCACUACAAACAAUCAAACAUGACAUGAAACUAAAAGAGAAUGUCCAGGAAAUUAAGAACUCUUAACACAGUAAUAGUCACGAUAUGACACAGUAACACAAGAUCGUCAUGCAGAGAUUAUACUUGUGCAUGACAGUUUAGGUGACAUUUCAGUGGUGUUUACCUUAGAAACGUAUCCACAAUCCUCAAAAUUUGGCCUCAGCUCUUGCAUCACAACAAAAGCUAAGAUUUUAAACCUUGAAGUUUAGCUCAUAUCGAACAAGUCACAGUAACUCAUGUUUGAGUAGCUAACUUCUUCAAGUAUCGUAUCAAAAAAAGACAAACUUUACCAAAUUAGAUGAAAGACCAGGAAAAUAAUUCAGACACAUAAUGUAACUAUUAUUUUAACAUGAAUUUGCAUGGGUGUAGGUAUUGAAACUUGAUCCACAUUCAUAAGUCAACUGGAGUGAUCAUUAUUCCCUAAAAGUGGAUAACAAAAUGUUCUGCAGAAAAAAAUUAAAUCAAAACAAUUACAUUUUCUUUUCAAACUCGCUUUUAGUACCGAUAGAAAAUUCUGGUAUUAAUUAAUUUUAAGUUUGAAAUGAGGUGAAAAUUUAUGCGAAGUAAUCAAUGCAAAUUUCAAAACCUGUAAAAAACUCUUGUUGUACAUAUGUUGCAAUGGAGAUAACACAAAAGGGAAAGAAGAAAACUGAAGAAUGUCAACCAGCAAGAGGCGUAAAUAGUUGGCAACUAUUGUGGGGGUUAUAUAACUAUACCAACAAUUAUAUGUAGUACCUCUGUCGAAGCAUAUUAAAUCAAUGGCUUUGAUUCUCCUAUCUACAACAUGGUUGAGAUAUCUCACACUGUCCAUUUUGCAAGAUGUAGAGAACAGGCCACAAACUCACAAAAGGGCUAGUUUAACUCUGCAUCUGUACCUACAAACAACCAAAAGAAAAACUAUGUCCACUAUAAAUGAAUGCUUUUGAGAUACUGAAAGUGGUUCAUCAUAAGCAGAAGGUGUUGUUUGUCCUUCUAGACCAAUGUUUUCACUAACCUACAUUGCCUUAAGUAUGAGAGUUGCGUCAAUUGCAUCAUUUACUACUUCAACGUCAAAGUGCUCUGCCAAAAGUCGUUGACUCAUAGGAAGAGACGGUACAUUUAGUUUCUUGCAUUUUACUUCUAAUGACAUAUUUCUCAUCAUCUAGAACACUUUAUUCUUCCUUUUCUUAAUCCUUUACAGUGUAUUUACAUAAGAUUAUAUACUUAAUGAUCAACAACAACCUAUUCCUGAUAAAACAAUAUAUCUUUUCUCAAUUAUUUAAAUUUUAGGCAUAGUUUGUAAUGCUUGAGAACUUCCAAUAGCGACAUGAAAGUACAAAAUCUUAACGACCUAGAACCACUAAUACAACUCAUUUAAUAGAAAAAAUGUGAGAAACAAUCACCUUCGAUAGACCUUGAUUGAGUAGAAACCUGUCACUAUAUUUUGACAACCAUUGUCUUAACCAUGGCAACUCCUAAAGAUCCUCCAGUUGAAUUAUAAUUGAAACCGCAAGAAGAAGAAUAUCUCUGCAACAAUUUAAAAAAAAAAAAAGGUAAAUUAUGCAACUUUUAUAAGUAAAUAAUUGACUCGAGAACUUGUUUCGAAUCUCUCCAAAUUUUGAUGAAAGGUUGUAAUUUCAACGGCACCUUAUUGUUUACUUGAUUUACACUAACCUAUAAGUUAAAUAGAAAAUACACUCACCAUAAAUUUAAAAAUAAGUCUUGCAAUUUCAUCAGGAAAAAGUAUAAGCACAAAGGGCUAAGAAGUGCAGUGCAGCUACUGCUAAAUCGUCAAAAAGUAAAAAGAUAAGAAAUGAACAUUUUCCUUUUCAAUCAUGAAUAAAUUGAAUGAUAUACGAUAUUUCUUUGUUAGUGCUAAAUCAUCAAAAAUAGUUGAUAAAAUAUAAAUGCAUUACUGACCUUUAGGAAUGUAGUUGACAUAGCCUUCCUCUAUUCUCUUUGAGUUUUUCUUAUUGCCAUUGACGACUAUAAAAUUGACACAAAAACAGUCAAUAAAGAUAUGCAUGUGAAAAAUAAGUUAAGAAAAGAUUCAAAUACUCAGGAAAUUUCAUAAAAAUACGACAUUUUAGAUUCUCAUUUCUGUUUCACAAUAAUCUUUGUCUUCCUAAAAGAUUCUCACGGAUAUUAGACCAAAAUCAAAAUCCUAAUUUAUGCAAUUGAAACAACACCAAAUCCAUAGGAACUAAAUGUAGUUGAAUAUAGAUAUCACGGGAGAGAGAAAAUAGAGAGCAUGACUAAAGAAUAAAUCAGUGAAGAAGAAAUUGAGAAAUCACCCAACUUGGCUCUGAGUGGUGAAAGAGAAUGGAGAACAAAAUAGGAGAAACAAA